RNAcentral lists this ribosomal RNA (425 nucleotides) under uncultured bacterium. RNAcentral's name for it is "partial 16S ribosomal RNA". It matches the Rfam family "Bacterial small subunit ribosomal RNA", at positions 354 to 796 of the family's 1533-position model. The record is from RNAcentral.
GUGGGGAAUCUUAGACAAUGGGGGAAACCCUGAUCUAGCCAUGCCGCGUGAGCGAUGAAGGCCUUAGGGUUGUAAAGCUCUUUCAGCUGGGAAGAUAAUGACGGUACCAGCAGAAGAAACCCCGGCUAACUCCGUGCCAGCAGCCGCGGUAAUACGGAGGGGGCUAGCGUUGUUCGGAAUUACUGGGCGUAAAGCGCGCGUAGGCGGACCAGAAAGUUGGAGGUGAAAUCCCAGGGCUCAACCUUGGAACUGCCUUCAAAACUCCUGGUCUGGAGUUCGAGAGAGGUGAGUGGAAUUCCGAGUGUAGAGGUGAAAUUCGUAGAUAUUCGGAGGAACACCAGUGGCGAAGGCGGCUCACUGGCUCGAUACUGACGCUGAGGUGCGAAAGCGUGGGGAGCAAACAGGAUUAGAUACCCGUGUAGUCC